AUGAACUAAACUGGUAUCUUGAAUGAGAAAGCAUUCAAAGUAGAUAUUUUUCUGCUGUGCAAGAUCACCGAGUGACUUCAAGUUAUUCAUCCUGAAUGAUUUAAUACAUUUUAUAAUGUUUUGGCUUACGAGAGCGCUAUUAAAGUUAUGAGUCAACUAGGAGGUAUCAGUAUAAUUGAACCCGUAACAUCAUU
Long non-coding RNA from Leptinotarsa decemlineata (Colorado potato beetle), 194 nucleotides. The record is from RefSeq and is a predicted model, not a curated record. NCBI's taxonomy places the organism in Eukaryota, Metazoa, Arthropoda, Insecta, Coleoptera, Chrysomelidae.